CCCAGCGGAGUCAAGUGACAAGAGAUAGGGGCUGGAGCCGGCUGGAAUGCGAGGCUCCGAGCCGAGAUUCUCAGGGGCCAGAGAGGGAAAUCCCAGCCAUCCAGGGGCUGGGAUAGCAGCGCCAAAGACUGCCUGCCCACCCAUCGCUGGGCCCCAGAGCCCAUCCCACAUCUCCCGCGUCACUCCGAACCCCAGAAGGCCCCCAAUGUCCUCCAGAACCCCCAAACACCCUCUACCCCUCCGCAUCCAUGCCCUCCCAUAGGGCUUCCCUCCCCUUCAGGCUGAUGGCCUCCUGCUGCCCAGGAAGGAGAGGAGGGAAAACAGCUGAAAAAAUGUGAGAAGAGGCACAUAGGAGAGAGGAACGAGCAGCUUCAGGCUUGCAGACCACCGGCCAUGCAAGGAAGCCAGCAGGACCAGCGAGAGGGACAACGGACCGAUGGGCCCCCACACACUAGCUGCAGCUCCCUUCUUGCAGAGCCAGCUGCCUCUGGGGGAGCAGGCCGGUUGGCAGCUGGGGAGGUCCUUGAAGACCGUGGGAUGUUGUCUUUAAUUCCUCUAACUUCCUUCAACUUGCAAGAGUACUGGUGGCUGAAAUCAUUCUUGUUUCUGUACAAAAAAAUGUGCAGAGAUCCAAAAAUGGCAAAUAAUUUGUUCAAGGCCACGUUGGAAGUCAAGGUCAAUGCUAAGAUAGUGUUUCUCAAACUGAGACUUCUGGACUCCUGAGAACCCAUGAAUACCCUGUGAAAAUUUUUCAAUUCCAUGUUUUCAUUUCCUUGGUAAUUUCUGAAAAGUAUUAUAAGCAUGUUUUUGGAGCGUAUGUAAUUGAUCCUGGCCCUGCAUUUUGUGUUUGUGUUUACCUAUUUAUAGCUUUCAUUGUCUUGGGUGCAUUUGUACCAACUGAAGGCCAGUAGACAAGUACUAACAAAGAUUUCUUGGUAACUUGAAUAGACAUGAGAAGGUGAAGAACUGAGUCACUACCGGGCGCACAGUGGAAUAUCUGUGCCAAGUGUGUAAGAAUCUGCAUGCAGCAGUACAUGUUCAUCUUGCCAGCAGCAACUUCAUUUCAGAAAAGCAACGCUCUUCAUCAUAUUAAAUUAAUGUUAGUUUCAAA
This is a long non-coding RNA of Lemur catta (Ring-tailed lemur), 1111 nucleotides long. RefSeq lists it as uncharacterized. The transcript has 2 exons. NCBI's taxonomy places the organism in Eukaryota, Metazoa, Chordata, Mammalia, Primates, Lemuridae. The record is from RefSeq and is a predicted model, not a curated record.